GGAGAGAUGCCGGAGCGGUCGAACGGGCUCGCCUGGAAAGCGUGUGUACUCCAAAAGGGUACCGAGGGUUCGAAUCCCUCUCUCUCCG
This 88-nucleotide transfer RNA is filed under the name bacterium. RNAcentral's name for it is "tRNA-Ser". It matches the Rfam family "tRNA". From Rfam's summary of the family: Transfer RNA (tRNA) molecules are approximately 80 nucleotides in length. RNAcentral also lists the same sequence under 2 other names. The record is from RNAcentral.